This 89-nucleotide transfer RNA is filed under the name Arsenophonus nasoniae (son-killer infecting Nasonia vitripennis). RNAcentral describes it as "tRNA-OTHER". Lineage: Bacteria; Pseudomonadati; Pseudomonadota; Gammaproteobacteria; Enterobacterales; Morganellaceae. The record is from RNAcentral. RNAcentral also lists the same sequence under 1 other name.
GUAACUUAUUAAAAAUUAAGGAUAAAGAGCGCGAUUUAAAAUCCCUCGGCCUUAAGGCUGUGCGGGUUCAAGUCCCGCCCUGGGCACCA